Molecule: long non-coding RNA, 908 nt
Filed under: Meleagris gallopavo (turkey)
Lineage: Eukaryota; Metazoa; Chordata; Aves; Galliformes; Phasianidae
Description: lncRNA (ENSMGAG00000019298.1)
Source: RNAcentral
UGAAAAUGUAUUGACUCUGGGAAACAGUGUGAAAGGAAACACAGAAAAUCUCUCUGGCUUCAGUUCAAGUCUAAAAAACCAAGUUCAGGAUUAUUUUCCCAUGAUCUUCUCAACAUGAAAGACUGAUGCAGCACCGCAUUGGCUACUAUCCAGUCUAGAUGGGAGGUAAAUUAUAUUCCUCUUCCUGGAAUACAGCCUUCACCACUAGUGUCACCAAACCCUCUUCUCUUGAGAGCUGAAGUCAGCCAAGUGCAACCAUAAGCCCUGCAAGAAGCUGACAUUCAGAAACCAGUCCUCCCACUCUUUUCUGCCUCAACAUUCCCUCCCUUGUUUUCUGAAUUUCCUUCUUGUCCCAGACGUCUCCAGGCUAGACGAGCCUUUGCUGUGGUGAACUAACUAACCCCUUUGGGCAUGGAGAAGACAAAACGGUACUUCUAGCUCCAGCUUGCAAGCAGAUGUAUUAUGAGUCUUUACUGAACCAAAAAUUGAGCUACUGAUUCUAAACACCUGGGACAGAGUGCCUGGGAACUGAGAAUGCAAUGUAUCGAAUGGCUGAGCCACCUCUUCUUGAGAAGGCCCUCCAGGAGUCAGCUAACAGGAUGAAGAACUUGUAUCUGAAACGUUGAACCAUUUUACUGCUGAAAAUAAGAGAAAGGAAAGAAGAAAGACUUUACUCCCUCAUAUUCUACUACUGAUUCUUAGUAAGUAUAAGCUUCUCCUCAUGUUUUCAUGCCUAUUCAUAAGAGUUUUCACAAUUUUUUUUAACUAUUAAAAGAUUUAGCUAAAAUGAAUAUUAUAAGAUUGCUAAUAUACACAGAACAGUUUUGAUGACCAAAGUGGUUUGGAUCUCGUGCUUUAAAAUCAGCAUUUCUUUACUAGUAUAUUUCUGAGGAUUUCAUCCAAACAUA